AUACUGUUGUUUUUCUUCAGGUUGCAUAAAUCUUUUGCCUUUUACUAAAGAUUUCCAUGGAGAGGAACAACUCUUGAGUUUUUAACUGAUUUCUUGAGGCUUUGCUUUGGCAGGGUU
Molecule: small nuclear RNA, 117 nt
Filed under: Prolemur simus (greater bamboo lemur)
Lineage: Eukaryota; Metazoa; Chordata; Mammalia; Primates; Lemuridae
Description: U5 spliceosomal RNA (ENSPSMG00000022698.1)
Rfam family: U5 spliceosomal RNA
About the family: U5 RNA is a component of both types of known spliceosome.
Source: Rfam by way of RNAcentral